CACAAAAGCAAGCUUUUACGGUGGUUAAGAAAGAUAGAAAAUUUGGCAAAAGACCACCUAGGCUUAACCAUGAGAUCUUGCAUGAUUUAAAAAAUAAAAAGGAGUCAUA
This is a long non-coding RNA of Gopherus evgoodei (Goodes thornscrub tortoise), 109 nucleotides long. RefSeq lists it as uncharacterized. NCBI's taxonomy places the organism in Eukaryota, Metazoa, Chordata, Testudines, Testudinidae. The record is from RefSeq and is a predicted model, not a curated record. The transcript is spliced from 4 exons.